CCAGAUGACCCCUUCGGGGUGAUUCUGGCGGAAUGAGCGGCGGACGGGUGAGUAACACGUGGGCAACCUGCCUGUAAGACUGGGAUAACUUCGGGAAACCGGAGCUAAUACCGGAUAGUAUUUCCUUUCUCCUGAUUGGAAAUGGAAAGACGGUUUCGGCUGUCACUUACAGAUGGGCCCGCGGUGCAUUAGCUAGUUGGUGGGGUAAUGGCCCACCAAGGCGACGAUGCAUAGCCGACCUGAGAGGGUGAUCGGCCACACUGGGACUGAGACACGGCCCAGACUCCUACGGGAGGCAGCAGUAGGGAAUCUUCCGCAAUGGACGAAAGUCUGACGGAGCAACGCCGCGUGAGCGAUGAAGGCCUUCGGGUCGUAAAGCUCUGUUGUUAGGGAAGAACAAGUACGAGAGUAACUGCUCGUACCUUGACGGUACCUAACCAGAAAGCCCCGGCUAACUACGUGCCAGCAGCCGCGGUAAUACGUAGGGGGCAAGCGUUGUCCGGAAUUAUUGGGCGUAAAGGGCUCGUAGGCGGUUUCUUAAGUCUGAUGUGAAAGCCCACAGCUCAACUGUGGAGGGUCAUUGGAAACUGGGGAACUUGAGUGCAGAAGAGGAGAGUGGAAUUCCACGUGUAGCGGUGAAAUGCGUAGAUAUGUGGAGGAACACCAGUGGCGAAGGCGACUCUCUGGUCUGUAACUGACGCUGAGGAGCGAAAGCGUGGGGAGCAAACAGGAUUAGAUACCCUGGUAGUCCACGCCGUAAACGAUGAGUGCUAGGUGUUAGGGGGUUUCCGCCCCUUAGUGCUGAAGUUAACGCAUUAAGCACUCCGCCUGGCGAGUACGGCCGCAAGGCUGAAACUCAAAAGAAUUGACGGGGGCCCGCACAAGCCGUGGAGCAUGUGGUUCAAUUCGAAGCAACGCGCAGAACCUUACCAGGUCUUGACAUCCGCUGACAAUCUUGGAGACAAGAAGAUUCCUUCCGGGGACAGCGUGACAGGAGGGGCCGGGG
Molecule: ribosomal RNA, 1006 nt
Filed under: Terribacillus saccharophilus
Lineage: Bacteria; Bacillati; Bacillota; Bacilli; Caryophanales; Bacillaceae
Description: bacterial SSU rRNA
Rfam family: Bacterial small subunit ribosomal RNA
Source: RNAcentral